This 723-nucleotide small RNA is filed under the name Pongo abelii (Sumatran orangutan). RNAcentral's name for it is "retained intron". Lineage: Eukaryota; Metazoa; Chordata; Mammalia; Primates; Hominidae. The record is from RNAcentral.
AUUUAUUCUUAAGCUGUUUUUGUCAGGGGUGGAUGAGUUUCUCAUUCUCGAGUUGAAAUGAGACUUUUAAAUAUUCCUAAUAACUCUCUUAUCGCCAGACGCUCUGCAUGAGACACCAAGGUUUGUUGAAUUUUACAUCCCUCAAGAAAUAGCUGUGGCUCAAAGGCAGACAGCUUUGGGUAGAGGCACAUGACAGCAGCAUCGGAGAAAGCUAGUCAGCAGUGGCAGCUGCAAGGCAACAGACCAGGACCAGUCCUGCCGCUGUUGUAGAAGACAUGUGGUGUAUAUAAAGUUUGUGAUCGUUGGCGGAAAUUUUGGAAUUUAGAUAAUGGGCUGUGUGCAAUGUAAGGAUAAAGAAGCAACAAAACUGACGGAGGAGAGGGACGGCAGCCUGAACCAGAGCUCCGGGUACCGCUAUGGCACAGACCCCACCCCUCAGCACUACCCCAGCUUCGGCGUGACCUCCAUCCCCAACUACAACAACUUCCACGCAGCCGGGGGCCAAGGACUCACCGUCUUUGGAGGUGUGAACUCUUCGUCUCAUACGGGGACCUUGCGUACGAGAGGAGGAACAGGUAAGCUCCCAAAGUCACAGAGCACGGAGAGGGGGCAGCUGCCCUUAAAUCUUUUGGCAGUUGAACAUCUGGGUUCCCAUCACUUCCCUUUGACUAGGGGUUUCACAUGUAAGUUUCUAAUCUGUCUCCUCUACUAGAUGAGGGGCUG